CCAACCCCGGACCCCACCAACCCCGCAGCUCCAUCAAUCGCAUCCAUUGUACUUCCGAUUAUACCCUCGGCUUUAAGUCUCUUUUUCUCUUCUAGUAUCCUCUUCUCUUCUUCUAUAGCAAGAUCUUGCUCUUCUUUUGUAAACUCAUGAUACUUCACCUAUGUCUAAAAAUUUUGCUAAGUUGACUAUUUGACCAUUUGAUAGUUUGACUAUUUGACUAUUUACCUUGACUGUGAGAGUUCCUCUAUCUUUCUUAUCUUUGAUCUUGAGCAUAUCAAGUGAAGGUUGAAGCUUCAAUUCAAUUUCAUUUUCAAUUUCUGGUUGAAUGCCAAUUAGAGAUAAUUUUGCAAUUCCCAAACGCUUGUCUUGCCCAAUAUCUUCAUCCAGAACCUGUUUGGAAUUGGAUUACAUCAUUAUUUAUUAUAAAAACUAAAAAAUAAAAAAGAUAAAAAAAGAUUUUAUUAUAUAACCUCGAGAAUAGCGGAUUGGGUUUCCUUGUCUUCUACAAUCAACUGAAGUACAUGAUUCCAAACAGGGUUCAAGUUGUUAUCUACAGCUUUUGUUUUGAAUUUUUCAAGUGGACGAAUAAAAGCAGUGACAUAAGGAUCAGAUUUUCCAAUCAUUUC
This 626-nucleotide long non-coding RNA is filed under the name Lactuca sativa (garden lettuce). RNAcentral describes it as "long non-coding RNA (LSAT_LNC003476)". Lineage: Eukaryota; Viridiplantae; Streptophyta; Magnoliopsida; Asterales; Asteraceae. The record is from RNAcentral.